This 549-nucleotide ribosomal RNA is filed under the name uncultured Glomus. Its description in RNAcentral is "SSU rRNA". It matches the Rfam family "Eukaryotic small subunit ribosomal RNA", at positions 548 to 1098 of the family's 1831-position model. Lineage: Eukaryota; Fungi; Glomeromycota; Glomeromycetes; Glomerales; Glomeraceae. The record is from RNAcentral.
UUGGAGGGCAAGUCUGGUGCCAGCAGCCGCGGUAAUUCCAGCUCCAAUAGCGUAUAUUAAAGUUGUUGCAGUUAAAAAGCUCGUAGUUGAAUUUCGGGAUCAGUACGCCGGUCGUGCCUUCGGUAUGCACUGGUGUCACUGGUUUCUCCCUUCUGAAGAACCAUCAUGCCAUUCAGUUGGUGUGGCGGGGAAUCAGGACUGUUACUUUGAAAAAAUUAGAGUGUUUAAAGCAGGCUCGCGCUUGAAUACAUUAGCAUGGAAUAAUGAAAUAGGACGUUUGACCCUAUUUUGUUGGUUUCUAGGAUCGACGUAAUGAUUAAUAGGGAUAGUUGGGGGCAUUAGUAUUCAAUUGUCAGAGGUGAAAUUCUUGGAUUUAUUGAAGACUAACUACUGCGAAAGCAUUUGCCAAGGAUGUUUUCAUUAAUCAGGAACGAAAGUUAGGGGAUCGAAGACGAUCACAUACCGUCGUACUCUUAACCAUAAACUAUGCCGACUAGGGAUCGGAUGAUGUUAAUUUUUUAAUGACUCAUUCUGCGCCCUACCGGAAAC